Molecule: microRNA precursor, 103 nt
Filed under: Marmota monax (woodchuck)
Lineage: Eukaryota; Metazoa; Chordata; Mammalia; Rodentia; Sciuridae
Source: RNAcentral
AAUGGGAUAGCUGGGUCAAAUGGUGAUUCCAUUCCAAGUUUUCUAAGAAAUCUCCAUAAUUCUUUCCAGAUUAGUUGCACCAAUUUGCAUUCCCACCAGCAAU